GUGCUGGCUUCAGCAGCAUGGAUACUAAAAUUGAAAGGAUACAGAGCAGAUUAGCAUGUCCCUUGCCCAAGGAUGAUAUGCAAAUUUUAAAAUGUUCUAUAUUAAA
Molecule: small nuclear RNA, 106 nt
Organism: Monodelphis domestica (gray short-tailed opossum)
Lineage: Eukaryota; Metazoa; Chordata; Mammalia; Didelphimorphia; Didelphidae
Source: Ensembl